This 96-nucleotide signal recognition particle RNA is filed under the name Desulfonatronovibrio sp. MSAO_Bac4. RNAcentral's name for it is "signal recognition particle sRNA small type". It matches the Rfam family "Bacterial small signal recognition particle RNA". Rfam says of the family: The signal recognition particle (SRP) is a universally conserved ribonucleoprotein involved in the co-translational targeting of proteins to membranes. Lineage: Bacteria; Pseudomonadati; Thermodesulfobacteriota; Desulfovibrionia; Desulfovibrionales; Desulfonatronovibrionaceae. The record is from RNAcentral.
AGAGGGAAGCCGGAUGGCGGAAACACUGCCAAUCCCGUCAGGCCUGAGAGGGAGCAGCGGUAACAGUUGUUUCCGGGUGUCUGGCUUCCCUCUGAA